Molecule: transfer RNA, 41 nt
Filed under: Pseudo-nitzschia fraudulenta
Lineage: Eukaryota; Bacillariophyta; Bacillariophyceae; Bacillariales; Bacillariaceae
Description: partial tRNA
Source: RNAcentral
AAUUUACGCGGGUGUUGAUCUUCAUGGUUCAGCCUUUCCUA